RNAcentral lists this unclassified non-coding RNA (371 nucleotides) under uncultured Actinomycetes bacterium. RNAcentral describes it as "uncultured actinobacterium contains 16S-23S intergenic spacer region". Lineage: Bacteria; Bacillati; Actinomycetota; Actinomycetes. The record is from RNAcentral.
UCCGAGUUGACCCCGGCAGUCUCCUACGAGUCCCCGGCAUUACCCGCUGGCAACAUAGAAUAAGGGUUGCGCUCGUUGCGGGACUUAACCCAACACCUCACGGCACGAGCUGACGACAACCAUGCACCACCUGUAUACGGCCCCGAAGGACACCAUAUCUCUAUGGCUUUUCCGUAUAUUUCAAGCCCUGGUAAGGUUCUUCGCGUUGCGUCGAAUUAAGCCACAUGCUCCGCCGCUUGUGCGGGCCCCCGUCAAUUCCUUUGAGUUUUAAUCUUGCGACCGUACUCCCCAGGCGGAAUGCUUAAAGCGUUAGCUGCGCCACCGAGGGAAACCCCCGACACCUAGUGAACAUAGUUUACGGCGUGGACUAC